CUGUCUCUGAGUGGCCUGGCCUAAAUGUGGAGGAGCUAUAUUCAGACGGCUGUGAGUGUGGGCGUUCAGUGAGAGAGAGCGGCUCAGGCAGCGAAGUUGCCUACACACUCCUUCAUUCUGACUCACUCUUCACAGUGGUACAUGAGGACAAAAGUCAGGACCAGACGAGCUGAAGAACCAGACUGAGUAAAACAAAGUGUGAGCCGGCGUCACUUCCUCCAUCCUGGGAGCCAGCUGCCUUUGCACACUACACUUUUAAUCAUGCUCUCAGCAGCUUGAAGCAGAUCUUGUAUGAAGAGGCCGUUGAUUUAGUUACAGGAAGAAAAGGAGCUGCUGUGAAUUCCACUCACAGCGUACUCAUCAAAGAUGAUAUUCAUCUGGCUUGCUGAGUCAUGUAACAGACAACAAUCCACCAGUCACGGAACCAAUAAUCUUUGGGUUUCUUGGCUUGAUUAGCUGUGUUUGCAGUCAAUACACUGGAGGAAGCUGAGAUUAUAAGCAGCACUGUUGUUUGGUGUCAUAACAAACUGGCCUGCCCUCCAUUCAAGUCCCGUUCAGCCAUGCUCGUUCACACACAUCGACUGAAGAAAAAGCCGCCCUGUGUCUGGGCCCCAACAGUAGAGCCAGAGAGAGACAGAAAGUGAGAGCUGAUCAGUGAGGGACCCCUGCUGGUGCUCCUACAUCGCUGCAGGUGCCUCAUAUCAGGUCAUUUUAAAGUGAUAAAGUUCUGUGACAGAUUCAGGAGGCUUCGCAGGUCUGUGGGCUGUGUGCGAGAGGGUAGGACAGGAAAGGGUGGGCGAAAGGAGACUCGUGUUUCCUCCUGUCUCUUCACUCCCGGCCCUCAGGUGAUCGAUCAGCAGAGACCAAGCUAAUGCACGCCCACGCGUGCUGAUGCAAUACACAAGUGCAUGGUAGCACACAGUUGCAUUCUGCACACCCAAAUAUAACGAUGCACAUGUUUCCAUAAAGUGUGGAAAAGAAAGCUGAUUUACUUCCAUCAUAAAUAAAAUCUGAUUCACACUUUCACUCUUGUAAACCAUAGCAUCAUCCUCAGCUAUGUGUUUAUUGUUGCCUUUAAUAAGACUCUGGAAUAAUUUGGGGGAAAAAAAGGACAAUUUGAAAAAUCAGUAAUCAUUAAUUAUAUUGUUUGGGUAAUAAGCAGCUGUGUCUUUUACAUUUUUUUUAUUCCAGCCUUUGUAUUAGUAGUUAGCAGGUUGGAUUUAUGAUCACUACUGAGUGAUAAAAUCAUCUAUAGUAAGAUAUGUAAUACACAGUAUAUAUAAAGUAUAUAGUACAUAUACUCUUUAAUGUGGCAUUUCAGUGUUCUACUACCUAAGAAGUGCACUACUAUGUGCCCAAAAGUGCUGUUUUAUAUUCAGUCACAAAUAAAGCUAGUCUACUAAACACCUGGUCACUUUAAGGACAUAUAUUAUAUUAAUUUUUAAUAUGUGCCAUCUAUAAACACACUCAAAUUUUUUAGACACACCUGUUUACCUGCUCAUUCAAGUAAUUAUGCAAUCAGCCAAUAAUCUGGAAGCAGUGCAAUACAUAAAAUCAGCCGUGAUCUCAUGUUCUUUGUCCUAAAUGGUCUGGUAAGUGUUUCAGACACACAAUCUAUAGAGUUUACUAAAAAUGAAACCAUUCAGCUGCAGUUCAACAAGCUAAAACACCUUGUUGAUAAGAGAGGUCAGAGGAGAAGGGCUAGACAGGUUCGAAUUCACUUUGGAAACUCAAAUAAUCACUCUAUACAACCAUGGUGAGCAGAAAUGCAUCAAAGAAGUCACAAGACACAGAACGAUAAGGUGGAUGAUGAGGCGUGAGUCAUGAGGCGGAUGUUCUACAACAUCAGAAGACCACAUGGGGUUAUACUAAUGUCAGCCAAGAACUGGAAUCUGAGGCAGUAUGCACAGGUUCACAGAAACUGGACAGCUAAAUGUAAGAAAAAGUCCAUCUUCAACAUUUCAGUUCCUGUGAGUCAUCAUAAUAAACUAGAUGUUAAUCUCUGGGGACUAUAUGUACAGUAUAUAGUAUAUAGAUGCGUAUACCACACAUACAGUAUACACACACACAAAUAAAUCAGGUUUUCAAAUCAAAGCAAAUAAAAGAAUGUCAUAUAUUUAGAAGUAAGGGACAUAGUUUCAUUUGUACUUUUACUGGAACUGAUUUUGUGCGCUUGAUAAUAGAAAUGUAAAAUGUACUUUUAUUCUAUCUUCCCUUCUUAAUAUGAUAUUCAGUCUGGUAUGCGUCAUUAUUAGACAAGGUAAGAGUGGAAACUAUUAUAAAGUAUUUAUGCAUAGAUUUUUUUUUCUUAUAAAUUUCUAGACAUAAAAUUGAUGAAUAUUGGAUGUCUGUAUGCAUGUUAGGUAUGUCUAAAUGAAUAAUAAUUUGAGGUUUUUCAGAAUCCUUUGGUAUAGCGCUCUCUAAUAUAUCUAUAUUGUCAGGUUAGUUGUAUAUUAUUGCUAAUUAUUGCUAAUUAUUCUUGACUCCAAUGUGAAAUUUUGAGCAACACCAUGUGCUUCAGGAGACGAAAGCAAAGCUGACAUCACUGCCUCACAUGCACACACACGUCGCUGCUCCUGCAGGCUGCCAUGGCAGCAGUGUGUCAUGUCAACAGCAGCUCACCUUGAAUGAAUGUUACUGUAGGCCUGUGGGAGCUGCAGAUCCGCCCUCGGCUGCGGGGGUGGGUCAGACGUGCGUCAGUCAUUAAGCGCUGCUACACACCCAUGGCAACGAGCAUUGUUUGUGUACGAGCCUGCCAGGACACGGCACAAGUCAGUCUCCCUCUGUCCCAGGGACAGCACACCCUGGGGACAGCCAACAAGACGCCAACACCCUUCUGUUGUGAUUCUCUGUAUUUACUCUAGGGUUUGGUUUCCCAGAGGAGGGUUAAACCUUUUAUUAUUAGUGAACAGGAUUUUUUAAUGAAGAGCUCCUAUGUGAGUUUGUGUUGUUAUUAUUGACGACCUUUACCUUCAUUUUGAACCUCACAAUUACCUGUCCAUUUAGCGGGAGCCAUCUCCUGUGCCAUGGUGAGGGAUGAGGAUGCUUCCUUGUAUCUGUUUCAACAGGGUCAAGCUCUUUGGGGGAGGCAGGGACAGCACGUUUCCAUGGCAAUGUGCUCGCAGGCUCUUCCUCUGAGGAUGAAGAGGCUCUGUAGCAAUAAGGAUGGCUUGCUUGGAAUGUCUUUGAAGAAUUCUGUAUUCUGCUGGCCUUGUUCCAGGCAGAAUGCACAGCAUGCAACCGAAGGCAUUUCUCUGUGGGUUAAAUGUAAUUACACUUGCGCACAUAGCAAUGUGUUUUGGUAAGGAUUUUAAUGCUCAUUGUUUCUGUGUACAAGCUGGCAGCUGACAGAAGAGGAUUCCCGUAACACAAUCCUGCAUACUGUAAUGCUUCUAAUAAUAAGGUGAAGUGGUGGAUUAAGAUAAAUCUGA
Long non-coding RNA from Hemibagrus wyckioides, 3431 nucleotides. RefSeq lists it as uncharacterized. The transcript is spliced from 6 exons. The record is from RefSeq and is a predicted model, not a curated record. NCBI's taxonomy places the organism in Eukaryota, Metazoa, Chordata, Actinopteri, Siluriformes, Bagridae.